Molecule: non-coding RNA, 228 nt
Organism: Cyanistes caeruleus (blue tit)
Lineage: Eukaryota; Metazoa; Chordata; Aves; Passeriformes; Paridae
Source: RefSeq, a predicted model, not a curated record
GAGAUGAGGAUUCUUGUCAGGAUGACACUGCUGAGGGUUCACAGUACAUCAACACAGCUGCUAUUUCUGUUGCCAGACAAUCCUCUACACAUUGUGAAUCUGUCAUGAGAAGAGGCCUUACCCCAUUGAUUAUCUUAGAAAACAGUUCUGCUGGCUUCAGAAACAUCAAAAUAAGCUGUGUCUUCUAGAUUUUUGGUUCUUCUCAGAGCUCCAUCUAGCAGCAGUCUG